CCUACGGGUGGCAGCAGUGGGGAAUAUUGCACAAUGGGGGAAACCCUGAUGCAGCGACGCCGCGUGAGUGAGGAAGUAUUUCGGUAUGUAAAGCUCUAUCAGCAGGGAAGAAAAUGACGGUACCUGACUAAGAAGCCCCGGCUAACUACGUGCCAGCCGCCGCGGUAAUACGUAGGGGGCAAGGCGUAUCCGGAUUUACUGGGUGUAAAGGGAGCGUAGGCGGCUGAUCAAGUCAGAAGUGAAAACCCAGGGCUCAACCUUGGGACUGCUUUUGAAACUGAGAAGCUAGAGUGCAGGAGAGGUAAGCGGAAUUCCUGGUGUAGCGGUGAAAUGCGUAGAUAUCAGGAGGAACACCAGUGGCGAAGGCGGCUUCCUGGACUAUAACUGACGUUGAGGCUCGAAAGCGUGGGGAGCAAACAGGAUUAGAUACCCCUGUAGUC
This 440-nucleotide ribosomal RNA is filed under the name uncultured bacterium. Its description in RNAcentral is "partial 16S ribosomal RNA". It matches the Rfam family "Bacterial small subunit ribosomal RNA", at positions 338 to 795 of the family's 1533-position model. The record is from RNAcentral.